Long non-coding RNA from Mustela putorius furo (domestic ferret), 1380 nucleotides. Lineage: Eukaryota; Metazoa; Chordata; Mammalia; Carnivora; Mustelidae. The record is from Ensembl.
AUGGCUCCCUGGAGAAUGCACUGUUGGGAACAAUUGUGGGCCAGGGAAACCCAGGUAGAAUGCUUUGCUGUGGUCCAGUCCCUGAGCCGUGAGAACGUCCUCCCCCAUGGCUGGUGCAGUGCGCGGAGUCCUCCCUCACCCAUGGCUGGUGCAGUGCGCGGAGUCCUCCCUCACCCAUGGCUGGUGCAGUGCGCAGAGUCCUCCUUCCCUCACCUGCUCUAUCUCCUCCCUCACUUCCACUUCCCAGAGAAAGUAGACUUCCCCAAUAAAGUUUCCAUGCCACAUCCUUAUCUCAGUAUCUACUUUAGUGGGGACCCAAAGACACCUGAGCACCAGCAAAUCUAUAUAAGAAUGUCUACAUCAACAUGGUUUAUAACUGAUUGAAGCUGGAAACAAAAUGAAUGUCUGCAAUGGAAUGUAUAUAUGACCUGGAGCUCAUUUAUUCAAUAGAAUGCUAUAUAACAAACAAAAAGGAAUGUCCAGGGCACCCGGACAGUGGGUUAAACCUCUGCCUUCAGCUUGGGUCAUGAUCUCAGGGUCCUGGAAUCAAGUCCCACCAUGGGCUCUCUGCUCCGCAGGGAGCCUGCUUCCUCCUUUCUCUCUGCUUGCUUCUCUGCCGACUUUUGAUCUCUCUCUGUCAAAUAAAUAAAAUCUUAAAAGAAAAAAAGGAAUGUCCAAAUAACAUGAAUCUCACAAACAUAAUUUUGAAAAAUAAAGGUAAAAUAGAGAAAAAUGGGAGCUGGGGUGGCUCAGUCAAUAAAGUGUCCAAUUCUUGAUUUUGUCUCAGGUCAUGAUGUCAGAGUCAUGAGUUCCAGGCCUGGCUUGGAGCUCCACACUCAGUGGGGAGUCUGUAAAGAGAUUCCCUCUCCCUCUCCCUCUGCUCCUCUCUCCACACCCAUACUCUCUGUCUCAAAUAAAUAAACUUUUCUAACAAGAAGAUAGAGAAAAAAGAAAUAUAUAGGGUGUUAUUUCACUUACAUAAAGUUAGAAAACAGGCUUGUUAAAAAAAUAAAACUAUUUUUAGGGAUGCAUAAAGGUAGUAAAACUAUAAAGAUAAGCAGAAAGUGAUUAUCAUGGACAUUAGAAUGAUGUAUACUCUGAGGACAGAAAGAUGAUGUUGAAGAAGGGAAUUGAGGGCUUUGGGAGGCUGACCAGUGUCUACUGGGUAACGGGAGCUUGGUUACAUGGGAGCUCACUUUAUAACUACUGAUCAAAUUGCAUAAUUAUUUUAUGGUGGUUUUUUCUGCAGGCUUUAUACUUGAAUGUAUGAUGGAUUAACAGAUACAAUAAGAGUGAUCUCUCUCUCUGUCAAAUAAAUAAAUAAAAAUCUUUUUAAAAAAUCAUAUAAUUUGUGAGAAUUGUGGUUGUAAUUACUAUCUC